RNAcentral lists this ribosomal RNA (398 nucleotides) under uncultured bacterium. Its description in RNAcentral is "partial 16S ribosomal RNA". It matches the Rfam family "Bacterial small subunit ribosomal RNA", at positions 338 to 733 of the family's 1533-position model. The record is from RNAcentral.
CCUACGGGUGGCAGCAGUGAGGAAUAUUGGUCAAUGGACGAGAGUCUGAACCAGCCAAGUAGCGUGAAGGAUGACUGUCCUAUGGGUUGUAAACUUCUUUUAUAAAGGAAUAAAACGAGGCACGUGUGCCUUUUUGCAUGUACUUUAUGAAUAAGCAUCGGCUAACUCCGUGCCAGCAGCCGCGGUAAUACGGAGGAUCCGAGCGUUAUCCGGCUUUAUUGGGUUUAAAGGGAGCGUAGAUGGGUUGUUAAGUCAGCUGUGAAAGGUUGCGGCUCAACCGUAAGAUUGCAAUUGAUACUGGCAGUCUUGAGAACAGGUGAGGUAGGCGGAAUUCGUGGUGUAGCGGUGAAAUGCUUAGAUAUCACGAAGAACCCCGAUUGCGAAGGCAGCUUACUAAA